CUAAAGGCUCUUUUAAGAGCCACCACUUUUCACAAGAGGGCUGCA
This is a regulatory RNA element of Merops nubicus (carmine bee-eater), 45 nucleotides long. It matches the Rfam family "Histone 3' UTR stem-loop". Rfam says of the family: The mRNAs of metazoan histone genes lack a poly-A tail. 3' end processing occurs at a site between a highly conserved stem-loop (modelled by this family) and a purine rich region around 20 nts downstream (the histone downstream element, or HDE). The stem-loop is bound by a 31 kDa stem-loop binding protein (SLBP - also termed the histone hairpin binding protein, or HBP). NCBI's taxonomy places the organism in Eukaryota, Metazoa, Chordata, Aves, Coraciiformes, Meropidae. The record is from Rfam.